This 1164-nucleotide ribosomal RNA is filed under the name Vibrio parahaemolyticus. RNAcentral describes it as "partial 23S ribosomal RNA". It matches the Rfam family "Bacterial large subunit ribosomal RNA", at positions 586 to 1754 of the family's 2925-position model. The record is from RNAcentral. Lineage: Bacteria; Pseudomonadati; Pseudomonadota; Gammaproteobacteria; Vibrionales; Vibrionaceae.
UUGUCCUGUGACUGCGUACCUUUUGUAUAAUGGGUCAGCGACUUAUAUUCAGUGGCAAGGUUAACCAUCUAGGGGAGCCGUAGGGAAACCGAGUCUUAACUGGGCGUUCAGUCUCUGGAUAUAGACCCGAAACCAGGUGAUCUAGCCAUGGGCAGGUUGAAGGUUGAGUAACAUCAACUGGAGGACCGAACCGACUAAUGUUGAAAAAUUAGCGGAUGACUUGUGGCUAGGGGUGAAAGGCCAAUCAAACCUGGAGAUAGCUGGUUCUCCCCGAAAGCUAUUUAGGUAGCGCCUCGGACGAAUACUACUGGGGGUAGAGCACUGUUAAGGCUAGGGGGUCAUCCCGACUUACCAACCCUUUGCAAACUCCGAAUACCAGUAAGUACUAUCCGGGAGACACACGGCGGGUGCUAACGUCCGUCGUGGAGAGGGAAACAACCCAGACCGCCAGCUAAGGUCCCAAAUUACUACUAAGUGGGAAACGAUGUGGGAAGGCUCAGACAGCCAGGAUGUUGGCUUAGAAGCAGCCAUCAUUUAAAGAAAGCGUAAUAGCUCACUGGUCGAGUCGGCCUGCGCGGAAGAUGUAACGGGGCUAAGUAGUAAACCGAAGCUGCGGCAAUAUACUUUAGUAUAUUGGGUAGGGGAGCGUUCUGUAAGCGGUUGAAGGUGUGUGGUAACGCAUGCUGGACGUAUCAGAAGUGCGAAUGCUGACAUGAGUAACGAUAAAGGGGGUGAAAAACCUCCUCGCCGGAAGACCAAGGGUUCCUGUCCAACGUUAAUCGGGGCAGGGUAAGUCGACCCCUAAGGCGAGGCCGAAAGGCGUAGUCGAUGGGAAACGGGUUAAUAUUCCCGUACUUCUUACAAUUGCGAUGGGGGGACGGAGAAGGCUAGGUGGGCCUGGCGACGGUUGUCCAGGUUCAAGUGCGUAGGCUUAAGAGUUAGGUAAAUCCGGCUCUUUUUAAGGCUGAGACACGACGUCGAGCACCUACGGGUGUGAAGUCAUUGAUGCCAUGCUUCCAGGAAAAGCCUCUAAGCUUCAGAUUGUAAGGAAUCGUACCCCAAACCGACACAGGUGGUCGGGUAGAGAAUACCAAGGCGCUUGAGAGAACUCGGGUGAAGGAACUAGGCAAAAUGGUACCGUAACUUCGGGAGAAGGUACGCUCU